CAGCCGCCGCGGUAAUACGUAGGUGGCAAGCGUUAUCCGGAAUUAUUGGGCGUAAAGCGCGCGCAGGCGGUUUCUUAAGUCUGAUGUGAAAGCCCACGGCUCAACCGUGGAGGGUCAUUGGAAACUGGGGAACUUGAGUGCAGAAGAGAAAAGCGGAAUUCCACGUGUAGCGGUGAAAUGCGUAGAGAUGUGGAGGAACACCAGUGGCGAAGGCGGCUUUUUGGUCUGUAACUGACGCUGAGGCGCGAAAGCGUGGGGAGCAAACAGGAUUAGAUACCCCCGUAGUCCCUGUCUCUUAUAC
RNAcentral lists this ribosomal RNA (301 nucleotides) under uncultured bacterium. Its description in RNAcentral is "partial 16S ribosomal RNA". It matches the Rfam family "Bacterial small subunit ribosomal RNA", at positions 509 to 807 of the family's 1533-position model. The record is from RNAcentral.